UAGAUUAAAACAGGUUGGUGGUAGUAAGUUCAAUAUAGGUUCAUAAUAAAUGGGUGUAAAUAAUUUGGCAAUUAAUUUGUUCAACCUAGGGAUAACAAUGGUGUUUAUCGGGCAACUGUAUAGCAAAUACACAGGGUUUAGUUAAAGAUGUUUAUAUUUUAGAGUUGAAAUGUGACCAGUAUUUAUGAAUUUCAACAAACGUUGGCCAUAACUAUAAUGGUCCCAAGGUAGCAAAAUUCCUUGUCGUUUAAGUAACGACCUGCAUGAAGCAUGCAAUGAUUUGAUAGCUGUUUUAUAUUAAUGUGUUGGUGAAAUAUUAGUUGGUGUCAAGAUACGUCUUUUAUUGUUACGGGACAAAAAGACCCUGUGAAGCUUUAUAGGAUACAAAUUAGUACGGAU
RNAcentral lists this ribosomal RNA (399 nucleotides) under Lingulaulax polyedra. RNAcentral describes it as "Lingulodinium polyedra partial Bacterial large subunit ribosomal RNA". It matches the Rfam family "Bacterial large subunit ribosomal RNA", at positions 1649 to 2128 of the family's 2925-position model. Lineage: Eukaryota; Dinophyceae; Gonyaulacales; Lingulodiniaceae. The record is from RNAcentral.